This 118-nucleotide ribosomal RNA is filed under the name Olea europaea subsp. europaea. The record is from RNAcentral. Lineage: Eukaryota; Viridiplantae; Streptophyta; Magnoliopsida; Lamiales; Oleaceae.
GGGUGCGAUUAUACCAGCACUAACGCAUCAGAUUCCAUCAGAACUCUGAAGUUAAGCGUACUUGGGCGAAAGUAGUACUGGGAUGGGUAACCUCCUGGGAAGCGGGGUAGUGAAAAAA